UAUCCAUUCCAUCCAUUCAAAUUCAAUCCCAUUCCAUCACUACUUUCUCCACCCCCACCGCUGCCUACUCCUUCCAAUUUCAGCUCCGCUGUCACCACCUCCUCCUUCCAGAGCCAGACUUCUCAUUUUCCAUUGCUACUCGCCUCACCUGCUCUCCAUCUGGUCCUGUUUGUUCGAUUUGAGCGUCAACGGUUACGGUAGCAGCAAAAGUAGAUGCGUUCCUAACCUCCUGAUGUCGGUGAUUCUUCGGCUGCAGUAGAAGAACUGAAGAAGAAGGGUUCUCACAUAAAAAAGAAAGGAAGAAUUGACAUCAAAUGAGUAGUAACUGCUGCAGAGAAAGCUUACCAAGAAAAAGCACUAGUAGGUGGAAUCAGAACUCAUGUGUUCUCAAAAUCAAAAGGAGAUGCUUAAGCUGCUAGUUACUGAUAUGAAGCCGCUUUCUGUCCGGGACAUUGUCCACAAUGGAGCCACUUUCCAGCUUUGUUGGCCGUCGUGAAUUGUGUGGCUAGCAAAUCGAAGAGUGCAUGAAGGACAAUAUGAUUGAGUAUGCCGUUACAUUAUUAUCCGGAAGCUGGUAUUGCAAGUGUGGCAAUAAGCUCUUCAUGCCUAAGCUGUAUCAAAAUUUUAUUCCUAGUUUUGUUUCACUUUGAAGCUCCUUUGUAUUUAGGUGGUGUUGUAUCACAUUCCAAUGUUCAAGUGUAUGGAUUCAAAAAUUUGUAAUGAAAUUAUCAAUUUUUAUGCAAUUCCAAAAUUUGUUCA
Olea europaea var. sylvestris is the source of this 759-nucleotide long non-coding RNA. RefSeq lists it as uncharacterized. The transcript is spliced from 3 exons. The record is from RefSeq and is a predicted model, not a curated record. Lineage: Eukaryota; Viridiplantae; Streptophyta; Magnoliopsida; Lamiales; Oleaceae.